This 301-nucleotide ribosomal RNA is filed under the name uncultured bacterium. RNAcentral describes it as "partial 16S ribosomal RNA". It matches the Rfam family "Bacterial small subunit ribosomal RNA", at positions 509 to 807 of the family's 1533-position model. The record is from RNAcentral.
CAGCAGCCACGGUAAUACAGAGGGUGCAAGCGUUAAUCGGAAUUACUGGGCGUAAAGCGCGCGUAGGUGGUUCGCCAAGUUGGAUGUGAGAUCCCCGGGCUCAACCUGGGAACUGCAUCCAAAACUGGCGAGCUAGAGUAUGGUAGAGGGUGGUGGAAUUUCCUGUGUAGCGGUGAAAUGCGUAGAUAUAGGAAGGAACAUCAGUGGCGAAGGCGACCACCUGGACUGAUACUGACACUGAGGUGCGAAAGCGUGGGGAGCAAACAGGAUUAGAUACCCGGGUAGUCCCUGUCUCUUAUAC